RNAcentral lists this ribosomal RNA (468 nucleotides) under uncultured bacterium. RNAcentral describes it as "partial 16S ribosomal RNA". It matches the Rfam family "Bacterial small subunit ribosomal RNA", at positions 28 to 507 of the family's 1533-position model. The record is from RNAcentral.
GACGAACGCUGGCGGCGUGCUUAACACAUGCAAGUCGAACGGAAAGGCCCUGCUUUUGUGGGGUGCUCGAGUGGCGAACGGGUGAGUAACACGUGAGUAACCUGCCCUUGACUUUGGGAUAACUUCAGGAAACUGGGGAUAAUACCGGAUAGGAGCUCCUGCUGCAUGGUGGGGGUUGGAAAGUUUCGGCGGUUGGGGAUGGACUCGCGGCUUAUCAGCUUGUUGGGGGGGUAGUGGCUUACCAAGGCUAUGACGGGUAGCCGGCCUGAGAGGGUGACCGGCCACACAGGGACCGAGGGACGGCCCAGACUGCUACUGGAGGGAGAAGUGGGGAAUAUUGCAGAAUGGGCGGCAGCCUGGUGCAGCAACGCCGCGUGCGGUAUGACGGUCUUCGGGUUGUAAACCGCUUGCGCCUGUGACUAAGCGUGAGUUACGGUAACGUGUAAAGAAGCACCGGCUAACUACGUG